Molecule: ribosomal RNA, 497 nt
Filed under: uncultured bacterium
Lineage: Bacteria
Description: partial 16S ribosomal RNA
Rfam family: Bacterial small subunit ribosomal RNA
Source: RNAcentral
GAUGAACGCUGGCGGCGUGCCUAAUACAUGCAAGUCGAGCGAACGGACGAGAAGCUUGCUUCUCUGAUGUUAGCGGCGGACGGGUGAGUAACACGUGGAUAACCUACCUAUAAGACUGGGAUAACUUCGGGAAACCGGAGCUAAUACCGGAUAAUAUUUUGAACCGCAUGGUUCAAAAGUGAAAGACGGUCUUGCUGUCACUUAUAGAUGGAUCCGCGCUGCAUUAGCUAGUUGGUAAGGUAACGGCUUACCAAGGCGACGAUGCAUAGCCGACCUGAGAGGGUGAUCGGCCACACUGGAACUGAGACACGGUCCAGACUCCGACGGGAGGCAGCAGUAGGGAAUCUGCCGCAAUGGGCGAAAGCCUGACGGAGCAACGCCGCGUGAGUGAUGAAGGUCUUCGGAUCGUAAAACUCUGUUAUUAGGGAAGAACAUAUGUGUAAGUAACUGUGCACAUCUUGACGGUACCUAACCAGAAAGCCACGGCUAACUACGUG